GACGAACGCUGGCGGCGUGCUUAACACAUGCAAGUCGAACGAUGAAGCCCAGCUUGCUGGGUGGAUUAGUGGCGAACGGGUGAGUAACACGUGGGCAACCUGCCCCAAACUCUGGGAUAACUCCUCGAAAGAGGUGCUAAUACCGGAUACGAACUAGGUAGACAUCUGCACUAGUUGGAAAGUUUUUCGGUUUGGGAUGGGCCCGCGGCCUAUCAGCUAGUUGGUAGUGUAACGGACGACCAAGGCGACGAUCAGUAGGGGAUCUGAGAGGACUACCCCCCACACUGGUACUGAGACACGGACCAGACUCCUACGGGAGGCAGCAGUGGGGAAUAUUGGACAAUGGGCGAAGGCCUGAUCCAGCCAUGCCGCGUGUGUGAAGAAGGUCUUCGGAUUGUAAAGCACUUUAAGUUGGGAGGAAGGGCUGUAAGUUAAUACCUUGCAGUUUUGACGUUACCGACAGAAUAAGCACCGGCUAACUUCGUGCCAGCAGCCGCCGUAA
Molecule: ribosomal RNA, 502 nt
Filed under: uncultured bacterium
Lineage: Bacteria
Description: partial 16S ribosomal RNA
Rfam family: Bacterial small subunit ribosomal RNA
Source: RNAcentral